AAUAUUGGACAAUGGGGGCAACCGUGAUCGAGCCAUGCCGCGUGUGUGAAGAAGGUCUUCGGAUUGUAACGCACUUUAAGUUGGGAGGCAGGGCGUUAGGUCAAUACACUGAAAUUUUGUCGUUACCUACAAAAUAAGCACCGGCUAAUUUCGUUACACCAGACGCGGUAAUAAAGAGGGUGCAAGCGUUAAUCGGAAUUACUGGGCGUAAAUCACGCGUAGGUGGUUCAGUAAUAUGGGUGUGAAGUCCCCGGGCUUAACCUGGGAACUGCUUUCAUAACUGCUGAGCUAGAGUACGGUGGAGGGUAGUGGAAUUACCUGUGUAGCGGUGAAAUGCGUAGAUAUAGGAAGGAACACCAGUGGCGAAGGCGACUACCUGGACUGAUACUGACACUGAGGUGCGAAAGCGUGGGGAGCAAAC
Molecule: ribosomal RNA, 421 nt
Filed under: uncultured bacterium
Lineage: Bacteria
Description: partial 16S ribosomal RNA
Rfam family: Bacterial small subunit ribosomal RNA
Source: RNAcentral